MicroRNA precursor from Oryza sativa Japonica Group (Japanese rice), 205 nucleotides. It matches the Rfam family "MIR812 microRNA precursor family". The record is from Rfam. NCBI's taxonomy places the organism in Eukaryota, Viridiplantae, Streptophyta, Magnoliopsida, Poales, Poaceae.
AAGAAGCAAACCCUAGAUUUCCGUGUCUAACUUUGACUGUCCGUUUUAUAUGAAAUUUUUUUAUAAUUCGUAUUUUUAUUGUUGUUAAAUGAUAAAACAUGAUUAAUAUUUUAUGCGUGACUUGUCUUUUUAAUUUUUUUUCAUAUUUUUUUUAAAUAAGACGGACAGUCAAACGUUGGACACGGAAAUCAGGGUUUGUCUUUUU